RNAcentral lists this long non-coding RNA (428 nucleotides) under Gallus gallus (chicken). RNAcentral's name for it is "long non-coding RNA NONGGAT001399". The record is from RNAcentral. Lineage: Eukaryota; Metazoa; Chordata; Aves; Galliformes; Phasianidae.
CAAACCUCCAGCACAGACUGAGGUGCUAUGUUACCCAGCUAUAGCCCCACGCAAUCCCAAGCCCACCAGGAUCCACGUGGACAAAUGAGUUCUACAUCGGCAGCAUGAGAAGCCAUCAUUGCUGAGCUGUUCAUGUGAAGCAAAAGUGAAUCAUGGCUGGAAGAAUUGUUUUAUGUGAAGAGAAAUCACUCAGCAAAGAUGCAGCUUUGAGAAGUGAGGAAAGAUGUGCUGUUGGGAAGGCUGGGCAAGGGCACCAUCACUGUUGAGUCACCUCUUCCUCCACAUAAUCACCUACAUCCCUCUAAGCUACCAGAUCUGGAUACGUCUCCCAGUAACAUGAAAAGAAGGAAAAGGAUAACGCAGGUAAGAAGGCACCCACCACUCCCUAGUUGGCAUGUAGCUGCGGCCUAGCAAUGGCAGAGCACAAC